AGUGAACGCUGGCGGUAGGCCUAACACAUGCAAGUCGAACGGCAGCACAGUAAGAGCUUGCUCUUACGGGUGGCGAGUGGCGGACGGGUGAGGAAUACAUCGGAAUCUACUUUUUCGUGGGGGAUAACGUAGGGAAACUUACGCUAAUACCGCAUACGACCUACGGGUGAAAGCAUGGGAUCUUCGGACCUUGCGCGAUUGAAUGAGCCGAUGUCGGAUUAGCUAGUUGGCGGGGUAAAGGCCCACCAAGGCGACGAUCCGUAGCUGGUCUGAGAGGAUGAUCAGCCACACUGGAACUGAGACACGGUCCAGACUCCUACGGGAGGCAGCAGUGGGGAAUAUUGGACAAUGGGCGAAAGCCUGAUCCAGCCAUACCGCGUGGGUGAAGAAGGCCUUCGGGUUGUAAAGCCCUUUUGGUGGGAAAGAAAAGCAGCAGGUUAAUACCCCGCUGUUCUGACGGUACCCAAAGAAUAAGCACCGGCUAACUUCGUG
Molecule: ribosomal RNA, 492 nt
Filed under: uncultured bacterium
Lineage: Bacteria
Description: partial 16S ribosomal RNA
Rfam family: Bacterial small subunit ribosomal RNA
Source: RNAcentral